RNAcentral lists this ribosomal RNA (477 nucleotides) under Triticum aestivum (bread wheat). Its description in RNAcentral is "partial small subunit ribosomal RNA". The record is from RNAcentral. Lineage: Eukaryota; Viridiplantae; Streptophyta; Magnoliopsida; Poales; Poaceae.
AUGAGUCAUUCUGAUGGCAUCAACAUCCCCAAUGGCAAGUUCUACGUACGAGAUGCUGGCUAUGCAUGUCGGCCAGGUGUUCUUCCACCCUCCAGGAAAAUCAGGUACCAUCUGAACGAGUUCGCUGAUAGGAACUAUCCUAGGAUUCUACGGGAGCUGUUUAAUCUCAGACAUUUCAGUCUCAGAGUUACUGUUGAGAGGACAUUUGGAGUUCUGAAGAACAAGUUUAAGAUCCUAAAUCAGAAGCCAUUCCACACUUUUCCCACCCAGGUUAAGCUUGUGCUUGCCUGCAUUCUGCAUAACUGGAUCCUGCAAUGGGGUUGUGAUGAACCGGUGCCUGAGGAGGAAAGCGUGACGCCUGACGAUGUUGUCAGAUACGACCAUGAUGUAGAGGCAUUUAACAACGAAGGCUGAAAGAACAAAAUGAUGAAGUGGGCACAUAUAAUAUGGGAUAACAGAGGUCAGAUAAGAAUCUGA